This 1513-nucleotide ribosomal RNA is filed under the name Lactiplantibacillus plantarum. Its description in RNAcentral is "bacterial SSU rRNA". It matches the Rfam family "Bacterial small subunit ribosomal RNA". The record is from RNAcentral. Lineage: Bacteria; Bacillati; Bacillota; Bacilli; Lactobacillales; Lactobacillaceae.
UGUUACUGCUAGACGACGCUGGCGGCGUGCCUAAUACAUGCAAGUCGAACGAACUCUGGUAUUGAUUGGUGCUUGCAUCAUGAUUUACAUUUGAGUGAGUGGCGAACUGGUGAGUAACACGUGGGAAACCUGCCCAGAAGCGGGGGAUAACACCUGGAAACAGAUGCUAAUACCGCAUAACAACUUGGACCGCAUGGUCCGAGUUUGAAAGAUGGCUUCGGCUAUCACUUUUGGAUGGUCCCGCGGCGUAUUAGCUAGAUGGUGGGGUAACGGCUCACCAUGGCAAUGAUACGUAGCCGACCUGAGAGGGUAAUCGGCCACAUUGGGACUGAGACACGGCCCAAACUCCUACGGGAGGCAGCAGUAGGGAAUCUUCCACAAUGGACGAAAGUCUGAUGGAGCAACGCCGCGUGAGUGAAGAAGGGUUUCGGCUCGUAAAACUCUGUUGUUAAAGAAGAACAUAUCUGAGAGUAACUGUUCAGGUAUUGACGGUAUUUAACCAGAAAGCCACGGCUAACUACGUGCCAGCAGCCGCGGUAAUACGUAGGUGGCAAGCGUUGUCCGGAUUUAUUGGGCGUAAAGCGAGCGCAGGCGGUUUUUUAAGUCUGAUGUGAAAGCCUUCGGCUCAACCCGAAGAAGUGCAUCGGAAACUGGGAAACUUGAGUGCAGAAGAGGACAGUGGAACUCCAUGUGUAGCGGUGAAAUGCGUAGAUAUAUGGAAGAACACCAGUGGCGAAGGCGGCUGUCUGGUCUGUAACUGACGCUGAGGCUCGAAAGUAUGGGUAGCAAACAGGAUUAGAUACCCUGGUAGUCCAUACCGUAAACGAUGAAUGCUAAGUGUUGGAGGGUUUCCGCCCUUCAGUGCUGCAGCUAACGCAUUAAGCAUUCCGCCUGGGGGAGUACGGCCGCAAGGCUGAAACUCAAAGGAAUUGACGGGGGCCCGCCACAAGCGGUGGAGCAUGUGGUUUAAUUCGAAGCUACGCGAAGAACCUUACCAGGUCUUGACAUACUAUGCAAAUCUAAGAGAUUAGACGUUCCCUUCGGGGACAUGGAUACAGGUGGUGCAUGGUUGUCGUCAGCUCGUGUCGUGAGAUGUUGGGUUAAGUCCCGCAACGAGCGCAACCCUUAUUAUCAGUUGCCAGCAUUAAGUUGGGCACUCUGGUGAGACUGCCGGUGACAAACCGGAGGAAGGUGGGGAUGACGUCAAAUCAUCAUGCCCCUUAUGACCUGGGCUACACACGUGCUACAAUGGAUGGUACAACGAGUUGCGAACUCGCGAGAGUAAGCUAAUCUCUUAAAGCCAUUCUCAGUUCGGAUUGUAGGCUGCAACUCGCCUACAUGAAGUCGGAAUCGCUAGUAAUCGCGGAUCAGCAUGCCGCGGUGAAUACGUUCCCGGGCCUUGUACACACCGCCCGUCACACCAUGAGAGUUUGUAACACCCAAAGUCGGUGGGGUAACCUUUUAGGAACCAGCCGCCUAAGGUGGGACAGAUGAUUAGGGGAAGUCGACAUUU